UUUCCGUAGGUGAACCUGCUGAAGGAUCAUUCAUAAUAAAGUGUUUUAUGGCACUUUUUAAAAAUCCAUAUCCACCUUGUGUGCAAUGUUAGAUCUCGUCAAUCUUGGCGAGAUUUUUAUACAUCAACUCAUUCUUUAACUAAUUUGUCUGAAAAAUAUUAUGAAUACUUAAUUCAAAAUACAACUUUCAACAACGGAUCUCUUGGCUCUA
Molecule: unclassified non-coding RNA, 211 nt
Filed under: plant metagenome
Description: partial contains small subunit ribosomal RNA, internal transcribed spacer 1, and 5.8S ribosomal RNA
Source: RNAcentral